This is a non-coding RNA of Doryrhamphus excisus (bluestripe pipefish), 11442 nucleotides long. Lineage: Eukaryota; Metazoa; Chordata; Actinopteri; Syngnathiformes; Syngnathidae. The record is from RefSeq and is a predicted model, not a curated record.
GACAUUUACACCUUUAAAUAAAAAAAAAACUAUGUACUUUUGUACCAAAAAGGAAACGAGCGGUUCCUUUUAUUGCCACAUUGUGUCAGUAAACAUCAUAGCUCAAAACUAAUGCAUAUUUGACUGUAUUGUAACUGUGUUGAGCUGCAACAUUUUAGCUCAUGUUCACCAAAGGGACAGCAGGCUUAGAAACAACAUCAUGCUAUUUGAUUUAAACAAAGAGAGAGAGUGUGUGUGUGUGUGUGUGUGUGUGCGUGCGUGUACCCCAAACAAUGAAGAGGAGAGGUGCUCUUCAUUGUUCACGUCUAUGUCAGUUCAAGAGGUUGCUAAAGUUCAUAGCGAUCUAACGAGAAUGUUAAUCUCGGGCACACCUGGACUACACACCCAUGAUACCUCCAACCACGGCUUCCAGUUCAGCCCUGCAGCCCCGCUAGCUAGCCGGGCUGGAGGGGAGGUUUCCGGAAGAACUAGCUCCAUGGCUACCGAGAGGAGUGGUUGGUGCGGGGGGGGGGGGGGGUGCUUGAGGGCAGCGUCCCCAGACAAAGACUCUCUGAGACGGGAGAUCCUGCCGUGUUCUUAGCGGGGAGACGUAUAAAGUUGGCUUGUGAUACAAAGUAGCUCCGAGGCCUUCAAUGAACGACGUGAUUUAUUUAUAAGGCGCUCAUUUUAGGAGACACUCGGGCGGGAGCGCGCACGCGCACUCGCCUAACGGAAAGUCUUCUGUCGUCGCGUUUUAAUUUGAAAAGAUUUUCCAUUUCCACAACUUAAUGAAUGCCACAGUUACAAAAAAUAGUGUUAUAUUAUACCCCUUUGGUAAACGAUUAUGCCAAUGUGGGAUUUGGGUUUACGUCAUAAGAAUAGUUGGGGUUUAAAAACUUACCGUUUUGGGCAUCUUUGCUUUCAGUGGUCCGCUUCAGGUUAAAACAAGGAAAAAGCACAGCAAAAAAACGAAUAGAACAGACGAGCAGUCGGCGAAACCAGCAGAAAACUUUUUCCCAUCAGAAUAACGGCGCCAAUCUAACGCUUUCCUGUCCAAUACGAUGCUACCUUUCGUUUGCUAGUUGGAAGAAACGAGAAGAAAACUCUUUCGGAGAAAAUAUGUCUUUUGUGUCGCCUUCGAAGUGAAAUGAGCUCGAAAGCUCGGCUUCCUGCUAACGGUACCCGGACUCUCAAACCACACCCAGGCCGAUGACAGGACAGCAGCCAGACAGAAAGAAGCUUGCAGCCCGCAGACUCCGCCUGCUGUCUCCGCAUCAUCAUGGCCGCACACAGCCUCCGGCCCCAAACUUCUACUCCCUUCGAGAGCUCGCCGAUCGAUGACGUGUGCCUUGUCCAUACAAUAUUAACACAAACAUCCACAUUGGGCCUCAAAACCUCAGGAGAGACAAAAGAGCACUCCUACUCCAUUGUGGUUAAAAGGACUUCCGGUUUGGGGCGCUAGCUACAAAAGGUAUAGGAGUUGAUAAUAAAUGGAGAUGUAUCUUUUUAAAAUGUGGGCUUUUAACAUACAACCAUACGUGUUGGAUUCCAACUUUGAUCCUGAAGUAGAGAGUUUCUCACGAACAGACGUUUUUUUCUCAAGAACAGAGGAUACUUCAAGACGUCUCUCAAUGGAGGUGGAAAAAAGACGAGCCCUUUGCCUUUCCCCACAUGUUAGCAAUGCUACUGGAAUGAUGGAAAAUACUCCAGCAGACGCCACAGCAGAAAUGUUCAUCUGGGCCGCAAUGUGGUGAGCGAGAGCAUACAGCAGUGGAGGGAGAAGCUCUCCUUCCAGCUGAAGGCGGACUUCUGGGCGUACCCGAUUGGACUCCACCUCAUUUAAGCAAAUGGACCGCACCUGGCUUAUUCUUGGUUGCCUGCUACUCGCAUGUAUGGACACUGUUUGAAGGUUUUGGACUUAUGGCCAUUCUUGAACACUGUUGGCAAGAAUUUGGUGAUACUGACUGGAAUCCAUGCCAUCUUCAACUUGAAAAAGAUUUCCAGUACCUGCACUGGCCACACAGCCCCCCAGCAUGAUGGAACCACCACCAAAUGUUACUGUGGGUAGCAAGUGUUUGUCUUGGAAUGCUGUGUUCUUCAUCCGCCAUCCAUACCGCCCUUUGUUAUGUCCAAAUAACACCAUUUUUCUUUCAUCAGUCCACAGCACCUCAUUCCAAAAUGAAACUGGCUUGUCCAAAUGUGCUUUAGCAUCCCUGAAGCGACUUUUUGUGGCAUGUGCACAGAAAAGGCUUCUUCCGCAUGCAUUUCCUGUACAGCAUUCCCUUGUGGAAAGUGCACUGAAUAGUUGAACGAUGCACACCAAGAUCAUGUUGUAGGUCUUUGGAGCCGGUCUGUGGGUUGAGUUUGACCGUUCUCACCAUCCUUGGCCUCUGCUUAUCAGAGAUUUUUCUUGGCCUGCCACUCCAGGCCUUAACGAGGACUGUGCCUGUGGUCUUCCAUUUCCUCACUAUGUUCCUCAGAGUGGAACCUGACAGCUAGCUCUGAGCUAGCUUUUUGUAUCCUUCCCUUAGACCAUGAUGUAGAACAAUCUUAGCUUUCAAGUCACAGUUUUUUAGGCUACCAUGUUGCCACUCUUCAAAGAAGAUGCAACUUGCAACUGGCCACCUUACCCUUUCUCAUGAUUGGCUUCACUUGUGUAUACACGUCAAUGGUCUUAUUGAAAUGUUCUCACCUUGAAAGUACAGUUCUGCUGCAUACACUUAGCACCAUAUAAGACCAAAAGAGCACCAUGCAGUAAUAGUAUAGUAGUUAUGGAGACCCAUGUGGGUAAACGGGUAAAUAUUACAAAGAAACAAUUCCUAAUAAAAUCAAAUACAGUAUAUACCAUACCCAUCUUCUGUGAUACAUUCUAAAUGUUAUAGAAUGAAGUCACUCUCUGAUCGAGCUUCACCUUACAGCCAUCCUCUUGGUGUGCUACUAGUACUUAGCUGCAUUUUUCUAUUUCUAUUUCUAUUUCUAUUUCUACAUUCUCGUAAAUUUUUAUUGCGUUCAUAUAAUAUUUUUAUGCCACUUAUUUCAGCUUCUGUAGCUUUACUUUUGCGCCUUGUUAGUGUAAACAUUUCCCCCUGCAAGCAACAUUUUAAAGCACAUGCUUUAGAUGAAGAAGCUGGACGUUGACCACUUAUUAUACUCUAGAAGCAGCUACUGCUUCAUAAAACCUACAUCAGGAGGUUUCUACCCACCAGCCACCCAUGCACUUUCAAUGCCGCUUAUCCUCAUUAGGGUCGCAAGGGUAUGCUGGAGCCUAUCCCAGCUGAUUUCGGGCAAGAGGCGGGGUACACCCUAGACUGGUUGGGUUUCUACCAGCCACAAAUGUCAAUGUUUUGACCGUCAUUAGGCCUAUUUUAGGGGGGCUGCAGACACCUAAAUGUUCUUAAGCCCCCCCUAAAGAAUUUGACAUAUUUUAUUGUUUUUUUCUACAAAAAAAAUCUCGGACUAAUUUUAUAUAAUAGAGCAAGAAUAGGAGUUAAAAUAAAUGGUCACAUUACCUAUUAUUAAUUAAUAAUCAUAAAUCUGUCCAUGUGCCUUUAUUUCAUGGUGUAAGGUAGAGUGCCCCUUCACUGCGCCAUUACCAAGUCUAUUCCACUUGGCCAGAGUGUUAGAGUAUGCCCACACCACAUAGAGUCCAUGUUUUCCUUGCAGCGUGUUUACCUACUUUGCAGCACACAGAGCCAACUAUUAAGCAGUUGGAGAAGAAUGAAUAUACAAAGGUUUUUCAAAAGAGUAAGUAUUCAUCACUGCUGCUAGCAAUUAGUUAGCUCCAGCCCACAGUCAACAGCAGAUUGAACCAUGAACCAAGCAUUUCACAUUUUACAAAAAAGAAAAAAAUAUCAAUAAAUGAAAUUAAAAAAAGACGUAUUGGCGAUCUCGGCUCACGUCUUUUACCUCUGUUGUUUUGCGGCCAAGAGGUAGAUUCCAGCCAUAAAGGAACACUGCAUAUGCUAAUUAGCUAGCCAGUAGCUAAUAUCAUGGUCCUGGUUGGAGUGCCAAGUGUGCCCUGCGCUCUCCUCAGCCUUGGGGGGCACAGCAUCAGUUGUGUUUCUUUCACAUUAUGGGAUGCUGAGUUGGGCUCUUUCCACUAUGAUUCAUUCAGCAUUAUUGUGAGUGGAUGAUAAUUCAUUCAUUCAUUCAUUUUCUACCGCUUUUCCUCGGUAGGAAGGAGCCUAUCCCAGCUGGGGUACAUCCCGGACUGGUCGCCAGCCAAUCACAGGGCACAUAUAGACAAACAACCAUUCACACUCACAUUCAUACAAUACAAUUUGGAGUCGCCAAUUAACCUAGCAUGUUUUUGGAAUGUGGGAGAAAACCCACGCAUGAACGGGGAGAACAUGCAAACUCCACACAGAGAUGCCCGAGGGUGGAAUUGAACCCUGGUCUCCUAGCUGUGAGGUCUGCGUGCUAACCACUAGACCGCCGUGCCGGAGUGGAUGAUAAUAAGAAUGAUAAUAGCAGUAGAGUAUGUCUGUUAAAUCUGUUGUGUUUUUGUAGUUGAUAGUGUUAAUGUGAUCCAAAAAAAUAAUUCUGCAUAUAUUUUCAUAAACAUUUAAUGGUGGCCUAAAACUUGAGUUUACUUGAGUAAAAAUUGAGUAUCUCUACCAAAUCUGUCCAAAAGUGAGAAAGUUAUAUCUCGUUUCUUGUUCCUUAUUUGUUUUUUGGAUUUCCUAAUGUCUACUACAUUCAUUCACAUCCUGUGCAUCUCCAGGGGGCUAAGGCCCCCCGUCCUCAGAACCUAGUGACGCCCCUGGUUUUGACUCUGAGCUAGUUGGACACCCUGACGGUUAUUUUCAUACCUGGCGACUAUAGGAGACUCUUUGGUUAAUUGAAUAGAGGCAUUACUUUUGAUAGAGGCAUUUAUAGUAGUUAACUUGUGUUUUAAUGUAACUUAGUGAUUGACAGGCUAUGUUCGGGAUAUGUGUGACACACAUAAGGCGGCUGGGAUGAGCUCCAGUUUACCGUAACAGUGUUGCAGGCAUGUGUUUGGCCAGCUAUGUGGGGCGGGUUGAGCGUGACCUGUGAACCAGGAAGUGCGGGGAUCUUGUGUGCGUGCUGUUCUCUCGUUGCCGAGUAGUCUAAAAAUACCGUGUUUCUUUCUCUGCCCAAGUCAGGCCGCCCUUUUCCACGGUUUGGGGCUGAAAAUACUGACAGUAACAACAGUGCGCAAUGGAUAUCAAGGACACCAGAGUUGAAAGGACUGUUUUAUAUACCGCAAAAGAAUGGAACAGUGUUUAGAACGAUAUGACGCAGAAAUUCCGCCAUGAUGGUGAGCAAGAGAGGAGGGCGAGGAUACUCGGACGACUGUGUACAAUUACACUGUACUUUGUAUUUACUAGCUCUGAGCAUACGCUGUGCAUUCACUUUGAUCAAAUUGAUGCAUGUCAUUUACUGAAAGUAAAAUAUACUAUAUGUAUAUACAUAUGUGUGUGUAAAAAUCCGUUGUACUGCAGAAAUAUGACCGAGAUGUUGAUAAAAACCCGAGCAGCCAGAAACUAUUUCCUUCGUUAUGAAACUUUGUUCUUCCUUACAGUGUUACCAACACUUAAACAUACUAAAUAAUUUUAAUAGUAUUAUAUGGAUAAUUCAUAGGCUCCAGCAACCCCCCUCCCCCCGCCCUGGUGAGGAUAAGCGGUAGAAAAUGAAUGAAUGAAUAUGGAUAAUUAAAGGGAGGAUUUUCCACAAUGCAACAUGUAUUUCUGUAAUGACGUUUCUUAUACAUUUGAUUGACUGACAUGCCAUGAAUUCAAGUCAUCACCUAAAGAAAUAAGCUAUAUUGUAUAGGAGUUCCACACAAUACACUUUCUGAGUCUUGUCCAAUCAGUGUUAUAAAUCUAUAACAUUUUUAUGAUACAAACCUAUCUUUUUGGAGAACUUAAACUGACAAACCUGGUCUGUUGGACCGUCUAUUAAUGGCUGAGCAGUGUGCCGACCAGAUGUUUACAAUGCAAUGUUUCUGGAUUCUGCUCACCAUCAUGGCGGACAGCCCCGCACAGGGCUAAGUACGGAAGUAGACGUAGAGUGGCCAAACCCCGUCAUGCUAAGGUCCUCGAUGGCGAUAAGCUCCGAAAACAGUAUGAAACAAAAGAUGAAUAACUCCAAAUUUAGUGGUGUAGUGCUUGAAAGGAAACUUAAAAAAAAUUAUUUGGACAUCAUACACAAUCCUUAUGUUAACAUGAGCGAAUGCUAGCGCAUGACAUGAAUGCAUAAUGUCUCCCUAACAUUUGUGACUGCCCCCAUGCACGCAGGGCUGGAGAGGCCCUGAUGUGAGCUGCAUAUUAAACCAAGCGACAUUGUUACUAUUAUUGACAUCGUUAGCUGAAGAACAGAUUUACUUUCCUCGCCACACUACACCGGCGAGCUACGAGACGGCUAACGACUCGCUUCACCACACACUUGCCCGCAGGUGGCAAGUAGGCAGGUUGGGCAAAGUUCAAAAGUUGAUGCUGUUUUAGUUUUGAGUUUGGAAUAAAUCAAUGCAAGGUGUAGAGUUUGAUUGAUGAUUAAGCCAUCCCAUUCCUUUGCCGCUUAUCUGACAUAAGCGGGGGCAUGCUGGAGCCCAUAUCAGCUGGAUUCUGGAUUCAGCUGGUCAGAGUUGGGGUCCAGCCUGUACUGGCCCCCAGCCAAUCGCAGGACAAACAAUCAUUCCCACUCACAUUCAUACCUGUGGACAAUUUGGAGGUGCGAGUUAACCUAACAUGCAUGGUUUUGGACUGUGGGAGGAAAGUGGAGCAUACGGAGAAAACCUGAUUUCAGCCUCUCAAAUGUGACAUUUUUUCUGUAUUUCCUUAGUCAUCCAUGAAAGCAGACCAUACAUCUUAUCUUUAGUAUUCUUGCCAAAAAAGAUAUUCACACAUAUCAGUGUAACCCAGGGGUAUUUAUUCAUAAUACACUUAUAGAAUAAUAUAAUAUUAAAUAUAUAUUGCAUCCGGGCGGCACGGUGGUCUAGGGGUUAGCGCGCAGACCUCACAGCUAGGAGACCAGGGUUCAAUCCCACCCUCGGGCAUCUCUGUGUGGAGUUUGCAUGUUCUCCCCGUGCAUGUGUGGGUUUUCUCCGGGUACUCCGGUUUCCUCCCACAUUCCAAAAACAUGCUAGGUUAAUUGGCGACUCCAAAAUUGUCCAUAGGUAUGAAUGUGAGUGUGAAUGGUUGUUUGUCUAUAUGUGCCCUGUGAUUGGCUGGCGACCAGUCUAGGGUGUACCCCGCCUUAUGCCCGAAGACAGCUGGGAUAGGCUCCAGCACCCCUCGCGACCCUCGUGAGGAAAAAGCGGUAGAAAAUGAAUGAAUAUAUUGCAUCCUUUUACAUUUCAUAUGUACAUUCUCUAUACUAUGUUUAUUGUAAUUAUUGUCAAUAUAAAACCGUUUACGUCAUUCCACAUGAUGUCAGUGGUAUAAAAAGAGCAAGAUUUGUGUAAAAAGGGUUCGCGAGCGUCCAUGUCGGUACUCGUUAAGCCCAGCAGACCCUGAAUUGCCCCGGUUGUGGAGGACUUGGUUGCAAAUAUGGCUGAGAUGUGUUGAGAGUGUUUUGUGAAGAUGAUGUAUGGCAUGAGCGAGCCAGUCGGUGCUGGCGUCGGCUGGCUUUAAAGUCAUUUGCAUUUGUGUUAACACUAAAGUUUCUAUAGAGUACUCUUGUUUGGUUAAAUGAUUAUAUGAAGAAACAUUUAUGCCGUCGUAUAACAAAAUGGUGAUUGGUUGCUUGGUUCUGGUGGCCCAUCUCAUGCCGUCCCUGUUUAAGUCCCGCUCAUGUUGGAAGUCCUGUUGAAGUGCUGCUAGGCCACAAGCCAAGCCAUGGUGGAAGGGAGGGAUCUGGUGGUGCGGUGGGAGCAACCGCUCACACGUCCGAUGCCUUCUGGCAUACAAAAUUUCACCUGAACAGUCAAGACCUCCUUAACUUUCUUCCUGUGGACUAUGGGACAGCUGCCAAGUGUCUAAGUUCCUAGAUUUUCAGGACCUGGAAGACUUGCUUUGAUCAAUGCAACUUUGAAUUCUAUCAUCUACCAAAAAAUGCUGAAGGAGGAUGUUCGAAUAUCUGUCCCAUUUUGGUAUAAGGACGGGAAAUCCAAUGUAAUUACAGAUCUCAAUGCUCUGUGGCUCUCACAUGUGAUGGCUGGAGUAACGUUGCACAGGACCACUACUUCACCAUCAGAGUACACUCUAUAGUGGAGGGCAAAAUAUAUUGGUUAAAAAUAGCCAUGUGAGAAAUUCACAGUAAAGUCAUUUCUAAAAAGUGCAUAGCAUAAAAAAGAAAGAAUCUGAAUUGAGAAUCGUUUGGAACAGGAAUAAAAAAAAAAGAAAAGAAAAAGAAAACAUAACCACCACCCCAAAGUCGCAACCUUGGCCAAAUAAGGAAAAAUGUAUGAAGUAUCCUCCAGAAAAUGUAGCAAAUAAGAGGACAAAUGUCAGUUUGAACAUAGUGUAUAUAUUUAUUAAUGGUUAGAAACACAUUUUGUCAUUAAGACUUACAUUUCGUUUGAGCCCACAGACUCAAAUAGUCUAAGUUGGUCUACAAAAAGCAAUGCUUUUCUAGUCAGUGUGGAUUACACCUGCCAAUUAGCACAACACAAACAGCUUACUCCAGUGUUUCCCUUUUUUACACUCACAUCACCGUUAAAAAAAGUCACCAGUGCAACGUGCUGUUUAAGUGACAAAGUGGGGUUUCACCUGAGUAUUACACUGUAUAUAUGUACAGUCAUUGUAAUGGGUACACCUCUUGACCUGACAUUCUGUACACCAAGUCUGUCCAUCCAGGUAUAUACUGUAUGGAGAUACUAUAUGCUGGCAUCAUAGGUACGCUGUUGGUGUGAGCGUGUGUUUGAAACAUUGGUCACAAGUACAUGUGUACAAUAAUUAAAAAAACAAAAAAACUUUGGUCAUGAUCAUAUCCAUGCUAUUCAACAUAUAACACUUAAUUUGACCAAUUUUCAUAAUAGCACAAGUCCAGUUUCAUUGAAGGCCAGCCAAAAACUACACACAAACUGGCCACAGAGAGCAAAAUUAUUCAUCUACAUUUCAAUAUAAUAUUCAAUGGUCAUAGAAAUAACAAAUUAUACACUAUGUCAACAUUAUUCAGUCAACCACCUGCCAAACAUUCCACUUUUAAGAGAUAUAUAUUUCCACAAACACAACAGACUGCCAUUGUGUUAUUUAGCAGUGUUUAGUGAUUCAAGUUUACGAAGUGUACUUUUUAUAUAUUAGUUUGGUGUGUGACAGUCUGUGUAAAAAGACACCCGCAAACCGAAAAUAUGUAAUACAAGACAUAUCCCCAAAAUAUUGACGUAUACUAUUAAAAUAGCAUAAAGCAGAAACAUCAUUUCAACAAUUGGAGGGAAUAGAUGCACAGGUUGCAACAUUUGAAGUUACCAAUGCAAGUAUUUUUUUUUUUUUUUUACAGUUUACACAUCCACGCAAACACACGGCUAUGUACAGUGAGGAUGAGAUGCUUAGUGCUGCACCUCCAUGUCCCACACAAUGAACUACUGUACCCAAUACCAGUUAGUACAUACAAUUGGGCUACUCCCAGUGACACAUGGUGUCACACAAAUUAGGCAUUGUUUUUUUUUUUUUUUUGUCCCUAUACUUAAAUAAAACUAUGUUAUUAUUAUACAUUUGAUAUUGAGUUUACAUUCAUGGUAAAGAUACAAUUUGUAUCAACAAGCAAAAGUCAAUUCUAGACAUUUGUGGCUUGGUUGUUUGCGGCACAAACAAAAGAAGGGGGUGUGAGGGUCAGUGAACUGUUAUUGGUGAACCUUGAUUAUAUUGGUUUUUUGCGACAGUGAUGACUCCUUCGGUCUGAACCCUAGGAUAGGGGUCGCAAACUCACAGCCCCUUUCUAACUUUUUUCAAAACUUUAGUGUCAGUGCAGCUCUCGGACCCUGGAGACAUAGUCAGAGGCACUUUCACUUGCUUAAAGGAAGAGGUUCUUUUAUCGGGCAAGGAAUAACCACCACAGAACUUGCAGUUAGCUUGUCACACAGUAAAAUGAAGGAGAGUGGGGGCACUUGACUAACACACCAACUACAAUCAUUUUGUCAAAACAAAAAUGAGUAAGGUAUGCAAACACACAAGGCAACCACAACUACUAUGGGGGAAAACAAUUACUCUGAAACACUCCAAGCAAUGAUAGAGAUGCCUGCUCCCAGCAUGCCUUUGCAACACCAUUUUAUAAAUAUUUACAAACUUUUAUUUUGGUUUUUAGAACUUGACUUAUUGUGGUCCCACAGACAGAUCAGCUGCAGGAGGAGAUGAGUGGACAAAUCAUUUUGUUACACUAUGGUAAGCGGUGACUUUGUAUAACAAUAGAACACUAGACUUUAGUACGACGCUGUCGGGACUUAUCAAGAACAUUAGAGAGUAUUUUUGUUUGUUUCUUUCGGCUUUUUCCGAUUAUGGAAUUGCCACAGUGGAUCUUUUUUUUGAUCACAUAUUGAUUUUUGGCUUGAGCCCUUCAAGCUGAAGAAGGAGUCCUAUCGAGCAUGGAUGGCUUGUGGGACUCUGGAAGCAGCUGACAGGUACCGUCAGGCCAAACGGUUUGCAGCUUCGGCGGUUGUUGAGGCAAAAACUCGGGUGUGGGAGGAAUUCGGUGAGGCCAUGGAGCACGACUUUUGGUCGGCCACGAAGAGGUUCUGGCAAACCGUCUGGUGACUCAGAAAAGGGAAGUAGUGCCCGGUCCACACUGUUCACAGUGGAGACGGGGGCCUGCUGACCUCGACUGGGGAUGUAGUUGGACGGUGGAAGGAAUACUUUGAGGCCCUUCUCAAUCCCACUGGCAUACCUUCCAUAGAGGAAGCAGAGUCUGAGGACACAUACAUGGACAGUGCCAUCACCGUGGCUGAGGUAUCUGGGGUGGUCAAAACGCUCCUCAGUGGCAAAGCUCUGGGGGUGGACGAGUUCCGCCCAGAAUUCCUCAAGGCUCUGGAUGUUGAGGGACUGUCUUGGCUGGCACGUCUCUUCAACAUUGUGUGGAAGUCGGGAACAGUACCUUUGGAUUGGCAGACCGGGGUGGUAUAUAAGUAUCUGUGGGUCUUGUUAGCGAGUGAGGGAAGGCGGGAGCGUGAGGUCGAUCGACGGAUCGGCGCAGCCUUUGCAGUAAUGCGGUCGCUGUACCGGACCGUCGUGGUGAAAAGAGCUGAGCCGGAAGGCAAAGCUCUCAAUUUACCGGUGGAUCUAUGUUCCCACCCUCACCUAUGGUCAUGAGCUUUGGGUCAUGACCGAAAGAAUGAGAUGGCGGAUACAGGCGGCUGAAAUGAGUUUCCUCCGUAGGGUAGCUGGACCCACCCUAAGAGAUAGGGUGAGGAGCUCAGCCAUCCGGGAGGGGCUCAGAGUAGAGCCGCUUCUCCUUCACAUCGAGAGGAGUCAGUUGAGUUGGCUCGGGCAUCUAGUCCGGAUGCCUCCCGGACGCCUCCUUGGUGAGGUGUUCCGGGCAAGCCCAGCCGGGAGAAGGCCCCGUGGCAGA